AAGUAAACCAUAAAAAGAACCAACAGGGAUUGCCCCAGUAACGGCGAGUGAAGCGGCAACAGCUCAAAUUUGAAAUCUGGCCCCCAGGGCCCGAGUUGUAAUUUGCAGAGGAUGCUUUUGGCGCGGUGCCUUCCGAGUUCCCUGGAACGGGACGCCAUAGAGGGUGAGAGCCCCGUCUGGUCGGACGCCUAGCCUGUGUAAAGCUCCUUCGACGAGUCGAGUAGUUUGGGAAUGCUGCUCUAAAUGGGAGGUAUAUGUCUUCUAAAGCUAAAUACCGGCCAGAGACCGAUAGCGCACAAGUAGAGUGAUCGAAAGAUGAAAAGCACUUUGAAAAGAGGGUUAAAUAGUACGUGAAAUUGUUGAAAGGGAAGCGCUUGUGACCAGACUUGGGCCCGGUGGAUCAUCCAGCGUUCUCGCUGGUGCACUCCGCCGGGUUCAGGCCAGCAUCAGUUCGCCGCGGGGGAAAAAGGCUUCGGGAACGUGGCUCCUACGGGAGUGUUAUAGCCCGUUGCAUAAUACCCUGGGGCGGACUGAGGUUCGCGCUCCGCAAGGAUGCUGGCGUAAUGGUCAUCAGCGACCCGUCUUGAAACACGGACCAAGGAGUCGUCUUCGUAUGCGAGUGUUCGGGUGUAAAACCCCUACGCGUAAUGAAAGUGAACGCAGGUGAGAGCUUCGGCGCAUCAUCGACCGAUCCUGAUGUUCUCGGAUGGAUUUGAGUAAGAGCAUACGGGGCCGGACCCGAAAGAAGGUGAACUAUGCCUGUAUAGGGUGAAGCCAGAGGAAACUCUGGUGGAGGCUCGCAGCGGUUCUGACGUGCAAAUCGAUCGUCAAAUAUGGGCAUGGGGGCGAAAGACUAAUCGAACCUUCUAGUAGCUGGUUUC
RNAcentral lists this ribosomal RNA (881 nucleotides) under Purpureocillium sp. RNAcentral describes it as "partial large subunit ribosomal RNA". It matches the Rfam family "Eukaryotic large subunit ribosomal RNA", at positions 44 to 958 of the family's 3401-position model. The record is from RNAcentral. Lineage: Eukaryota; Fungi; Ascomycota; Sordariomycetes; Hypocreales; Ophiocordycipitaceae.